CAGGGAGACAAUAACUGAUUGUGAUGUCUGGCUAAAUUAUUGCUAGGCCAUGAUCCUGUCAUCUCGAUGGUUAAUCGGUACCUCAACCGACAGAAGCGAAGCCAAAUGAUACUCCAGCGAUGGGGAACCAAAUGAGCUGUCGUGGAAGUCUUUUCAGUUCCUAAACUUUGUCUAGGUCACCCCGCAAGGGUAUCCCUGGGCCAUUAGCUCAGGUGGUUAGAGCGCACCCCUGAUAAGGGUGAGGUCCCUGGUUCAAGUCCAGGAUGGCCCAUUCGUGUUUGGGGGUUUAGCUCAGUUGGUAGAGCGCCUGCUUUGCAAGCAGGAUGUCAGCGGUUCGAGUCCGCUAACCUCCACUGACCAACCCAUCCGGAUCGCGAAAGCAACGGGAGAGAGCAUGUGGUGGUGAUUUUAGAUAAGUGUACUGAGAAAAGGACUCUAGCUUCCUUUCAUCUCAUGGUGAGCCUGAAUCUUAAAGCAAGGUUUUGGUAUCGACUGUGAUUGAAAAGACGCUGGACUCCAGCAUGAUCAACGGAAACGUUGAUGUUGCGGUGUUCAGUAGAACCUUGACAACUGCAUAGGUAAGUCUGUAAAUAAAGCAUCUCAUGGAUGCUUCAAAAGCAGCCAAAAGCCCAAGGCCAUUGGCACUUGGGUGGAGGUAUGUGGAUGAAGCGAUUCUAGAGUAGGAGCCGAGACUCCACAUGGCUCCUGGUUCUUGCCAAAGGAAUCGGGUCUGAUCCUGUUUUCAAUUUUGCCGAUUGCUUGACUGGAGAAACCCAGUUAAUCAGAAAGCUAAGAUGAAAGCAAGAGAAUCUGCGCACAACCGCAGUAAGGUGAUGUGGAGGUUAAUU
Molecule: transfer RNA, 848 nt
Filed under: uncultured cyanobacterium
Lineage: Bacteria; Bacillati; Cyanobacteriota
Description: partial contains 16S ribosomal RNA, 16S-23S ribosomal RNA intergenic spacer, and 23S ribosomal RNA
Rfam family: tRNA (bases 281-353)
Source: RNAcentral